RNAcentral lists this ribosomal RNA (895 nucleotides) under Stutzerimonas stutzeri. RNAcentral's name for it is "bacterial SSU rRNA". It matches the Rfam family "Bacterial small subunit ribosomal RNA", at positions 61 to 951 of the family's 1533-position model. The record is from RNAcentral. Lineage: Bacteria; Pseudomonadati; Pseudomonadota; Gammaproteobacteria; Pseudomonadales; Pseudomonadaceae.
GUCGAGCGGAUGAAGAGAGCUUGCUCUCUGAUUCAGCGGCGGACGGGUGAGUAAUGCCUAGGAAUCUGCCUGAUAGUGGGGGACAACGUUUCGAAAGGAACGCUAAUACCGCAUACGUCCUACGGGAGAAAGCAGGGGACCUUCGGGCCUUGCGCUAUCAGAUGAGCCUAGGUCGGAUUAGCUAGUUGGUGAGGUAACGGCUCACCAAGGCUACGAUCCGUAACUGGUCUGAGAGGAUGAUCAGUCACACUGGAACUGAGACACGGUCCAGACUCCUACGGGAGGCAGCAGUGGGGAAUAUUGGACAAUGGGCGAAAGCCUGAUCCAGCCAUGCCGCGUGUGUGAAGAAGGUCUUCGGAUUGUAAAGCACUUUAAGUUGGGAGGAAGGGCAUUAACCUAAUACGUUAGUGUUUUGACGUUACCGACAGAAUAAGCACCGGCUAACUUCGUGCCAGCAGCCGCGGUAAUACGAAGGGUGCAAGCGUUAAUCGGAAUUACUGGGCGUAAAGCGCGCGUAGGUGGUUUGUUAAGUUGAAUGUGAAAGCCCCGGGCUCAACCUGGGAACUGCAUCCAAAACUGGCAAGCUAGAGUAUGGCAGAGGGUGGUGGAAUUUCCUGUGUAGCGGUGAAAUGCGUAGAUAUAGGAAGGAACACCAGUGGCGAAGGCGACCACCUGGGCUAAUACUGACACUGAGGUGCGAAAGCGUGGGGAGCAAACAGGAUUAGAUACCCUGGUAGUCCACGCCGUAAACGAUGUCGACUAGCCGUUGGGAUCCUUGAGAUCUUAGUGGCGCAGCUAACGCAUUAAGUCGACCGCCUGGGGAGUACGGCCGCAAGGUUAAAACUCAAAUGAAUUGACGGGGGCCCGCACAAGCGGUGGAGCAUGUGGUUUAAUU